CCUACGGGAGGCAGCAGUGGGGAAUAUUGCACAAUGGAGGAAACUCUGAUGCAGCGACGCCGCGUGAGCGAUGAAGGUUUUCGGAUCGUAAAGCCCUGUCCUAAGGGACGAUAAUGACGGUACCUUAGGAGGAAGCCCCGGCUAACUACGUGCCAGCAGCCGCGGUAAUACGUAGGGGGCGAGCGUUGUCCGGAUUUAUUGGGCGUAAAGGGUGCGUAGGCGGCCUUGUAAGUCAGAUGUGAAAUCUCACGGCUUAACCGUGGUAAGCAUUUGAAACUGUGAGGCUUGAGUACAGGAGAGGAGAGCGGAAUUCCUAGUGUAGCGGUGAAAUGCGUAGAUAUUAGGAGGAAUACCAGUGGCGAAGGCGACUCUCUGGACUGUAACUGACGCUGAGGCACGAAAGCGUGGGGAGCAGACAGGAUUAGAUACCCUGGUAGUCCACGCCGUAAACGAUGAGUGCUAGGUGUCGGGGGUCAAACCUCGGUGCCGCAGUUAACACAUUAAGCACUCCGCCUGGGGAGUACGGUGGCAACACUGAAACUCAAAUGAAUUGACGG
Molecule: ribosomal RNA, 557 nt
Filed under: uncultured bacterium
Lineage: Bacteria
Description: bacterial SSU rRNA
Rfam family: Bacterial small subunit ribosomal RNA
Source: RNAcentral